This 386-nucleotide ribosomal RNA is filed under the name uncultured organism. RNAcentral's name for it is "bacterial SSU rRNA". It matches the Rfam family "Bacterial small subunit ribosomal RNA", at positions 45 to 433 of the family's 1533-position model. The record is from RNAcentral.
UGCUUAACACAUGCAAGUCGAACGAUGAGAAAGAGCUUGCUCUUUCGAUUAGUGGCGGACGGGUGCGUAACGCGUAGGAAUCUGCCUAUUAGUGGGGGACAACUUAGGGAAACUUAAGCUAAUACCGCAUACGCCCUACGGGGGAAAGGAGGGGAUCGCAAGACCUUUCGCUAAUAGAUGAGCCUGCGUAGGAUUAGCUAGUUGGUGGGGUAAAGGCUCACCAAGGCGACGAUCCUUAACUGGUUUGAGAGAAUGAUCAGUCACACUGGAACUGAGACACGGUCCAGACUCCUACGGGAGGCAGCAGUGGGGAAUAUUGGACAAUGGGCGAAAGCCUGAUCCAGCAAUACCGCGUGUGUGAAGAAGGCCUUUGGGUUGUAAAGCUC